AGAGGAGGAGGAGGGUGUGUUAUUGAAUGGUGGCUAAAGCCUCCUCGGGACGGCGCUGAGGUGAAACGGGCUGAACCCGACUGCUGUGCCUCCUCUCCCGGUUGGACCCGGUGCCCUAAGCAGCCGAGGAGGGACCCCGGCCGCCCGGCUCGCAGAUGCGAAUAAGAUAUAGAGUCUUAAAUAAAAAUGUGCCUGAUCCAAAAAUAUGCAGGAUAACUUAAGGAAAAAAAGAAAAAGUGGACUCACUGUAUUCCUGGUCAUUUCCAUGUGGGAAUAAACAGAUCAACAUAGAAUAGUAUAGGUACCUUUUUAAUGCUGAAAUGGGCAUGCUAAUUGUGAACUGUGUGGUCAGAAGCUCCUAAAAUAUUCAGUAACUUAUUUACUGGAAUUUAACAAGCUGUGUACUUCAAAGCUUCUUUCACCUCUAAUUAUGUGCAUAAACACUGUGAAUUGUAUUGCCAACUUGAGAUUUGGCACAGUAGCAGCAGUGCUGAAGCAGCCCCCGCCACGAGGAAAGGUACAAACAUGGGCAGGCGACCUGUGAUGGGCCAAGAGACCUCUCUUACCAGGAUUUGCUCACGGUUAUGCUUCUGGCAACUGACAUUUCCAUUUUACUCAAAGCUCCUACCUUUGUGUCAUCAGACAAAGCCCCAUGAGUGGUGGCAGAGCAAACUGUAGCCUUCAUUCUCAAGUUCGAAGAGGAAAAGUUAUUUACAUGCCUAAAUCGCAGAACACGCUGUUCAAAGGUCACUCUGUUACUUAUUGUUUUUAACCACUAAGUUUUUCAAAAAGUCUAUAAGGAAAAAGCACAUAUUUUGGGCAGAAGCAUUUAAUUGGUUGCUUUCUUGUUUUAUUUUCCUUUUCUUAUUGUAUGAUCUGAUUUUUGUACUACCAGAGGAACGUUGAAGAUGGGAUGCUGCUGUCAUUCCUCACCAUGAAUGAUUACUUAAAGGGACCAUCAGAGAUUGCAAGACAAAUCUCUGACCCUCUUUAAGAUUUUUAUGUUCUGAAAAGGAAUGACCUUUAAUUGGUUAGGAUUUUGGAAUUUAUGAUGUAAAGAAAACUAUUGAUUCCUGUGAUGACUGAUCCUUUACUGUUUUUAUCAGACUUUCAACUGAGCAUUUCAUUAACAUUAUUGUUUAUGAAUUUAGGCAAAUAUUUGUUUAUUGCUGCACUGCCAUUUUCCCCCACCCCAUUUUAGACAUAUUUUCCUGAAUGUGAGCUUGAAUUUAGCAACAAGCAGUCUGAUUUCCAGAAAUGUAUUGUUAUCAAAGUACUCUCUACCAAGAUAUAUGAAUGGUGAUAUUAAGAGAAAGCACAAAUAGUGCCUUUAUUCAUUCAGAGAUGAAGCACUGAGAAGUCAAAGUUAUACAGCAGAAAUGAAUAAAUGCAGCUCGAAAUAUUUUUGUAUUCCAAACUACAAGAGCAACUCAAACAAUAAGGAUAACAUAUAAACAAACAAACAAGCAAACAGAAAAGUUGGUUGAUUUCCUUAAAAAUGUUUGGAACUUAAAAGAAACUUUAAAACUUAUAAACAAAAAGAGGAAAGCUGUCAUUUGACAUGGUGAUUAAGGCAGACUGAAGGACUUGUCUCAGAGGCUGUUUAUGCUGCUAUCGCAUGGCAAAACUGUGUGGGGCAUUUAAUCUCUCUUAGUUCUCCUGCUUGUAAGUAACAAGCUGAAGUAAGCAUUACAGCUACUUCAGUCUAGUGUUGUGCAAUAUUCAGAUGUUUCACAAUACAAUAGAAAAGUGUGUCACAGUGUACUUAAAAGUUGCCUGUUAAACUUCAUGUUUUUGAGAUAGAAGAAAAUUUUGGCUACACCUCUUGAAAGAGCUCAUUUGUUAAGGUGGUGGUGGCAGCUUUAAGCUUCUCUGAGAUAUAUUUUCUUAUUGGUUGUUUGUUUUUUAACUGCUUAAUGAGCUAAUUUUUGGUAUCACGUGUGGAAUAUGUAUGUCUCCUAUGACUGACAGGAAGGAUGGUUUCUGCAAAUAAAAAAUUCUCUUUUAGGAGGUCCUGUGAUCAGUGGAAUUCUGUCACCAUCACAAAAACAUACUUAGCAUGGCGUGUAUUUCCCAUUUCAGCUAAUAAACCUAACAUCUUUGUCUGGCCAACAUCUCAA
Molecule: long non-coding RNA, 2120 nt
Organism: Tympanuchus pallidicinctus (lesser prairie-chicken)
Lineage: Eukaryota; Metazoa; Chordata; Aves; Galliformes; Phasianidae
Exons: 3
Source: RefSeq, a predicted model, not a curated record